This 368-nucleotide long non-coding RNA is filed under the name Anser brachyrhynchus (Pink-footed goose). RNAcentral describes it as "lncRNA (ENSABRG00000001599.1)". The record is from RNAcentral. Lineage: Eukaryota; Metazoa; Chordata; Aves; Anseriformes; Anatidae.
GUGCAAGGAGACUGAACUACUUGCAUGCCUACUCAGAAAGCGCAAAAUAGGAACAGAUGCUGCUUGUAUCAGAAAGCGACCUGGGAGGCCAGAGGUAUGUCAGACUUCUGAUGGAAUGACAGCCAAAGAGCACCAUGGAAGAGACAGCACUGCUAUGUUCCUGAGGCAGCGCGGGAAACCAUUAACCUCCUUUGUGGCUAGGACACUUUGCUCGCUUGGGUUUACCUUGGUGUCCACCGUGAUCCCCAGGUCCUUCUCUGCAGAGCUGCUUUCCAGCUGGGUGCCCCCAGCAUGUGCUGGGGCCUGGGGUUGUUCCUCCCCAGGGGCAGGGCCUCGCGCUUCCCCUUGCUGAACUUCGUGAGGCUCCU